This 112-nucleotide ribosomal RNA is filed under the name Pteropus alecto (black flying fox). The record is from RNAcentral. Lineage: Eukaryota; Metazoa; Chordata; Mammalia; Chiroptera; Pteropodidae.
GUCUACAGCCGUGCCACCCUGAGCAAGCCCAAUCCUGUCUGAUCUUGGAAGCUAAGCAGGGUCUGGCCUGCUUGGAUAGGAGACCACCUAGGAAGACCAGGUGCUGUAGGCA